RNAcentral lists this ribosomal RNA (2894 nucleotides) under Stenotrophomonas maltophilia. RNAcentral describes it as "23S ribosomal RNA". It matches the Rfam family "Bacterial large subunit ribosomal RNA". Lineage: Bacteria; Pseudomonadati; Pseudomonadota; Gammaproteobacteria; Lysobacterales; Lysobacteraceae. The record is from RNAcentral.
GUUAUAUGGUCAAGCGAAUAAGCGCACACGGUGGAUGCCUUGGCGGUCAGAGGCGAUGAAGGACGUGGCAGCCUGCGAAAAGUAUCGGGGAGCUGGCAACAAGCUUUGAUCCGGUAAUGUCCGAAUGGGGAAACCCACCCGCUUGCGGGUAUCCUGCAGUGAAUACAUAGCUGCUGGAAGCGAACCUGGUGAACUGAAAUAUCUAAGUAACCAGAGGAAAAGAAAUCAACCGAGAUUCCGUAAGUAGCGACGAGCGAACGCGGACUAGCCCUUAAGCUGAUUUGGUUCUAGGAAAACGCUCUGGAAAGAGCGGCCAUAGAAGGUGAUAGCCCUGUAUCUGAAAGGGCCAUUUCAGUGAAGACGAGUAGGGCGGGGCACGUGAAACCCUGUCUGAACAUGGGGGGACCAUCCUCCAAGGCUAAAUACUACUGACCGACCGAUAGUGAACCAGUACCGUGAGGGAAAGGCGAAAAGAACCCCGGAGAGGGGAGUGAAAUAGAUCCUGAAACCGUGUGCGUACAAGCAGUAGGAGCUCCGCAAGGAGUGACUGCGUACCUUUUGUAUAAUGGGUCAGCGACUUACUGUUCGUGGCAAGCUUAACCGUAUAGGGGAGGCGAAGGGAAACCGAGUCUGAUAAGGGCGCAUAGUCGCGGGCAGUAGACCCGAAACCGGGUGAUCUAGUCAUGGCCAGGGUGAAGGUGCCGUAACAGGUACUGGAGGCCCGAACCCACGUCUGUUGCAAAAGACGGGGAUGAGCUGUGAUUAGGAGUGAAAAGCUAAUCGAACCCGGAGAUAGCUGGUUCUCCUCGAAAGCUAUUUAGGUAGCGCCUCAUAUGUAUCCUCUCGGGGGUAGAGCACUGUUAUGGCUAGGGGGUCAUCGCGACUUACCAAACCAUUGCAAACUCCGAAUACCGAGACGGACUGUAUGGGAGACACACGGCGGGUGCUAACGUCCGUCGUGAAAAGGGAAACAACCCAGACCCACAGCUAAGGUCCCAAAUUUUGUGCUAAGUGGAAAACCAUGUGGAAAGGCACAGACAGCCAGGAGGUUGGCUUAGAAGCAGCCACCCUUUAAAGAAAGCGUAAUAGCUCACUGGUCGAGUCGGUCUGCGGGGAAGAUUUAACGGGGCUAAGCACAAAACCGAAGCUUGGGGUGCAUAACUUUGUUAUGCGCGGUAGAGGAGCGUUCCGUAAGCCGUUGAAGGUGGAUUGAGAAGUCUGCUGGAGGUAUCGGAAGUGCGAAUGCUGACAUGAGUAACGAUAAUGCGGGUGAAAAACCCGCACGCCGAAAGCCCAAGGUUUCCUUGCGCAACGUUAAUCGGCGCAGGGUGAGUCGGCCCCUAAGGCGAGGACGAAAGUCGUAGUCGAUGGAAAGCAGGUUAAUAUUCCUGCACCUCGCGUAAGUGCGAUGGAGGGACGGAGAAGGUUAGGUGUACCAGGCGUUGGUUGUCCUGGGGAAAGGCGGUAGGUUUGGAUCUUUGGCAAAUCCGGGAUCCUUUAAGACCGAGCACCGAGACGAGUCUUUAUGACAAAGUCACUGAUACCACGCUUCCAGGAAAAGCUCCUAAGCUUCAGCUUACGCAGACCGUACCGUAAACCGACACAGGUGGGUAGGAUGAGAAUUCUCAGGCGCUUGAGAGAACUCGGGUGAAGGAACUAGGCAACAUGGCACCGUAACUUCGGGAGAAGGUGCACCCUUUUUGGUGGCUCGUGCGAGCUAUAGCUGAAGAGGGUCGCAGUAACCAGGCCGCUGCGACUGUUUAUCAAAAACACAGCACUCUGCAAACACGAAAGUGGACGUAUAGGGUGUGACGCCUGCCCGGUGCUGGAAGGUUAAUUGAUGGGGUCAGCCGCAAGGCGAAGCUCUUGAUCGAAGCCCCAGUAAACGGCGGCCGUAACUAUAACGGUCCUAAGGUAGCGAAAUUCCUUGUCGGGUAAGUUCCGACCUGCACGAAUGGCGUAACGACAGCGGCGCUGUCUCCACCCGAGACUCAGUGAAAUUGAAAUCGCUGUGAAGAUGCAGCGUUCCCGUGGCAAGACGGAAAGACCCCGUGAACCUUUACUAUAGCUUUACACUGAACGUUGAGUUCGUCUGUGUAGGAUAGGUGGGAGGCUAUGAAACUGUGGCGCUAGCUGCAGUGGAGCCAUCCUUGAAAUACCACCCUGUCGUGCUUGACGUUCUAACCUGGGCCCAUUAUCUGGGUCGGGGACCGUGUAUGGUGGGUAGUUUGACUGGGGCGGUCUCCUCCUAAAGAGUAACGGAGGAGCUCGAAGGUACGCUCAGCGCGGUCGGACAUCGCGCACUGUGUGCAAAGGCAUAAGCGUGCUUGACUGCAAGAUCGACGGAUCAAGCAGGUAGGAAACUAGGACUUAGUGAUCCGGUGGUUCUGUAUGGAAGGGCCAUCGCUCAACGGAUAAAAGGUACUCCGGGGAUAACAGGCUGAUACCGCCCAAGAGUUCAUAUCGACGGCGGUGUUUGGCACCUCGAUGUCGGCUCAUCACAUCCUGGGGCUGUAGUCGGUCCCAAGGGUAUGGCUGUUCGCCAUUUAAAGUGGUACGCGAGCUGGGUUCAGAACGUCGUGAGACAGUUCGGUCCCUAUCUGCCAUGGGCGUUGGAGAUUUGAGAGGGGCUGCUCCUAGUACGAGAGGACCGGAGUGGACGAACCUCUGGUGUUCCGGUUGUCACGCCAGUGGCAUUGCCGGGUAGCUAUGUUCGGAAGCGAUAACCGCUGAAAGCAUCUAAGCGGGAAGCGCGCCUCAAGAUGAGAUCUCCCGGGGCACAAGCCCCCUGAAGGAACCAUAUAGACUAUGUGGUUGAUAGGUCAGGUGUGUAAGUACAGCAAUGUAUUGAGCUAACUGAUACUAAUGAUCCGUGUGGCUUGACCAUAUAACCU